Molecule: RNA transcript, 1891 nt
Organism: Ornithodoros turicata
Lineage: Eukaryota; Metazoa; Arthropoda; Arachnida; Ixodida; Argasidae
Gene name: targeting protein for Xklp2 homolog
Exons: 11
Source: RefSeq, a predicted model, not a curated record
UAUAUCUUUUUCUUUUUUUCGGUAAUUAGGCAAUCCUAUAAGAAGAUGAAGAAGCAGAAUCCUGAAAUGAAUAGAUGGCGCAGCAUUUGUUGUUCUACGUCAUCACUUGUCUGCUUCGUGAUUGGUCCCUGGUUUCCUCCCGGACCGCGCGACAGUUACCACCGGUUACCGCCAUUUCAAAUUCAAACUUACCUGAGCCAGCGAUGUCAGAAUGUAAGUCUAAUCGGCGGUCUGAUAAGAAGCAAGCUUGUGGUAUGUGGGAAUUCGAUUGUCCCAAAUUUCGGGACUUUUCACAGCCUCACUCCUUAGAGGACAGUACUAGAAUAUCAGAAAAGUACUUUGACUUUUGUCACGACAUCAGCUACAUAGACACAUCUGGAAUGUCAGAAACACAGGAAAGGCAAGCUCUGAGCAUGGUUGAAAGCAGCAAAGAGAAUGCCCCCAGGCUAAUCAAGGUUCCCAAGUACAAGAAAAAAAAUAACAAGGCGCCUUCCAAGUCAUCAUGCAACAAGAAACGAGUACCAGGUAACGUGCAACCAGGUAACAGGUCACCAUUCAAAGCAAUGGCGCAGGUCAUCCACGAAUUCCAUGUGAAGACACCGAGUCGUUUCCACACGAGGUCAUCUAGGACUGAUGACCCUAGGCCUGAUGGCGUAAGGCCAAGCAUUAUUGCCCAAAACGCCACACGCCAGCAUGUGUCCCGUGCAGAGCAUCAUCGCGAAAGUCUGGCAAAAGGUCUGAAGAAGAAGCCAGACUCAGCAGAAGCCAAAGAAACUGAAAGGCCAAAGCCUCAGUGCCCUGAAACUGAAAAACUGACUGAAACUCUGUCGAAACUGAAGUGUCUGCAACAGGGCUAUUCUACUAGAGAUCAUAGAAGCAAGCAGACGUCUGCUCCGUCUCUCGUACGACUGAAGGGAUUGGGUGCUCCCACCCCAAGGGCGAGGGGUACCACGCCCGAACCUUUUUCGUUCCAGAGAAAACUUGAAGAGUCUCUGCAUAGGAAGGCCGAGUUUAUUGCACACGAGAGACGGCGAUCUCAAGAGAACCACAAAACGUUCCAUGCAAAACCAGCCCCAAGUGCAAAAAAGAAGUUUUCUCUGAAAAAAACAACCAUGCCUAUAACAAAAGUGGAGCCGUUCCACCUACUAUCGGAGGCUCGCCACCACAUUCGCAUGGAGUCCGAAAACGAAAAGCAAAGGAGACUACGCGAGUAUGAAGAGGAAUCGAAGCCGUUCAGGGCACGGACAUGUAGGUCCAUUUACCAACCUCCAUUUCAGCCGAAGCGAGAAGGAUCGCACACACAAGUAGUCCACUUUGUCCACGGCCGCUCGAUCACUCCGCUCGAUCGCUCCGCUGGUGCGGCCUGCCGAAUGCUCCCCGGCGCCCGUGAAGGCGGGAGUUCCAAUUCUGGCCAAAACCUCAAGCGACCUCAAGCGCUCGCGCGAAGAUCUCCCAGUAAACCAAAAACGUCUGUGAGACAUCCAGGGGACAUCCUAAAAGGGAUGUCUGGACGUCCAUCGGACAUCCAUAAACCUCCAGGUGCCAUGGACCGCAAAUGAUGGAUCCAUUUCUUGUCCAGUGGACAUCCAUGUGGACAUUUUCUGGAACUCCCUGGGACAAUGUUUAGACAUUUCGUACUUGAUGCAUAGGGUUCGUGCAUAGGGUAUCAGGAGGCAGUUGUGAUAGAAAUGGGAAUUAAAGCGAGAUCAUCAGAUGGUUAGUUUUGCAUGGUGUUGUGUACAAAAACUUGUCGCAUGGUCAUGAAAGAAGGAAGUUACCGAGUACCAUCGUGUUCGUCUUGGUUCCCAUUUCUACCACAUUGGUGCGUCCAGACAUGCACUGAACACCUUGGAGCUUUGGUCUUUUUUCCCUUCCUGAGGACAUUCAGCUG